Molecule: ribosomal RNA, 275 nt
Filed under: Neogloboquadrina pachyderma
Lineage: Eukaryota; Foraminifera; Rotaliida; Globorotaliidae
Description: partial 18S ribosomal RNA
Rfam family: Eukaryotic small subunit ribosomal RNA
Source: RNAcentral
GCACCACAAGAACGCGUGGAGCAUGUGGCUUAAUUUGACUCAACGCGGGAAAUCUUACCGGGUCCGGACACACUGAGGAUUGACAGGCAAUAUCUCAUGGUUAUUAACCGGUUAUUUAUUUAAUCGGUUAUUAAGCAUCGAGUGUUAAAUAUGCUAGUCCUUUCAUGAUUAUGUGAUAGGUGGUGCAUGGCCGUUCUUAGUUCGUGGAGUGAUCUGUCUGCUUAAUUGCGUUUCACUAAGGGCCCAUAAAUUCAAGGUAUGUUAGCUAUCGUCGC